UCUUUUAGAUAUUGGGUAGGGGAGCGUUCUGUAAGCCGUUGAAGGUGAAUCGUAAGGUUUGCUGGAGGUAUCAGAAGUGCGAAUGCUGACAUGAGUAACGACAAAGGGGGUGAAAAACCUCCUCGCCGGAAGACCAAGGGUUCCUGUCCAACGUUAAUCGGGGCAGGGUGAGUCGACCCCUAAGGUGAGGCCGAAAGGCGUAAUCGAUGGGAAACGGGUUAAUAUUCCCGUACUUCUGACUAUUGCGAUGGGGGGACGGAGAAGGCUAGGUGGGCCAGGCGACGGUUGUCCUGGUUCAAGUGCGUAGGCUUGAGAGUUAGGUAAAUCCGGCUCUCUCUAAGGCUGAGACACGACGUCGAGCUACUACGGUAGUGAAGUCAUUGAUGCCAUGCUUCCAGGAAAAGCCUCUAAGCUUCAGAUAGUCAGGAAUCGUACCCCAAACCGACACAGGUGGUCGGGUAGAGAAUACCAAGGCGCUUGAGAGAACUCGGGUGAAGGAACUAGGCAAAAUGGUACCGUAACUUCGGGAGAAGGUACGCUCUUGAUGGUGAAGUCCCUCGCGGAUGGAGCUGACGAGAGUCGCAGAUACCAGGUGGCUGCAACUGUUUAUUAAAAACACAGCACUGUGCAAAAUCGCAAGAUGACGUAUACGGUGUGACGCCUGCCCGGUGCCGGAAGGUUAAUUGAUGGGGUUAGCGCAAGCGAAGCUCUUGAUCGAAGCCCCGGUAAACGGCGGCCGUAACUAUAACGGUCCUAAGGUAGCGAAAUUCCUUGUCGGGUAAGUUCCGACCUGCACGAAUGGCGUAAUGAUGGCCACGCUGUCUCCACCCGAGACUCAGUGAAAUUGAAAUCGCUGUGAAGAUGCAGUGUACCCGCGGCUAGACGGAAAGACCCCGUGAACCUUUACUACAGCUUGGCACUGAACAUUGAACCUACAUGUGUAGGAUAGGUGGGAGGCUAUGAAGACGUGACGCCA
RNAcentral lists this ribosomal RNA (976 nucleotides) under Vibrio cholerae. RNAcentral describes it as "partial 23S ribosomal RNA". It matches the Rfam family "Bacterial large subunit ribosomal RNA", at positions 1213 to 2173 of the family's 2925-position model. Lineage: Bacteria; Pseudomonadati; Pseudomonadota; Gammaproteobacteria; Vibrionales; Vibrionaceae. The record is from RNAcentral.